CGAGGGGUGCAAGCGUUAAUCGGAAUAACUGGGCGUAAAGUGCACGCAGGCGGUUUGUUAAGCCAGAUGUGAAAGCCCCGAGCUCAACUCGGGAACCGCAUUUGGAACUGGCAAACUAGAGUCUUGUAGAGGGGGUAGAAUUUCCAGUGUAGCGGUGAAAUGCGUAGAGAUUGGAAGGAAUACCAGUGGCGAAGGCGGCCCCCUGGACAAAGACUGACGCUCAUGUGCGAAAGCGUGGGGAGCAAACAGGAUU
Molecule: ribosomal RNA, 253 nt
Filed under: uncultured bacterium
Lineage: Bacteria
Description: partial 16S ribosomal RNA
Rfam family: Bacterial small subunit ribosomal RNA
Source: RNAcentral